UCGUGCAGAAUAGGAUCCCAAAGUGCUUCUAAUGGCCAUGUUUACCUAGGUCCUUAUCUUAUGUAAUUGCUGUUAACUUCUGAUAACUCGUCACUCUGAAGGAAAAGGGAUCAGCAGCUAGUUAUCCGGGCCCACAAGGGGAGCUAUGACUGGUGUGGGCACUCGGCGGAGUCGGGCAGCAUGCUCAGAUGCACGUGGAAGUAGUGCAAUGUGUAUCCUAUAGGAUGAGUUAUCUGAAGUAAGUACUUACAAGAAUUUCUAGAAUACAACUAGUUAUGAGUAAAGCACAGCCCUUUGUUAACACUCUAUAUGGGAAGUGGAUGGCAUAUUGACAGCCUGUCUACUUAAGUGCUAGUGACAGGGUCUUGUUAUCAGGAGUUUACCAUAUUAACUAGGUCGGUGAGAGACCAGACUUGGGGGACCUGGAGUGUACAUUGAGCAGGACUUUCGGGGCUCAAAAUUAAGAACCUGGAAGAGCAUUUGUAUGCAGCACGAAUCUCCAGCAUGAAAAUCCCUUGCUGGUGGAGGUUCUGCCUGUCACUGAAGGAAUCAGCCUGCAGAAUGGAAUUGUGUGGCAGGAGAAAGCCACUAGAUGUUGUUUGCUCAGAAGGCGGAGGUUGAAAACGAAAGGUGAAAUUAUAAUGGAGACCACAGCUAAAUGAAGCAACUUCUAAUGGGUUUAAAAAUUCGCCCAAGUUUGUCGAUUGUGAAUAGUGGCAGCUAAUCCUGCUCUACCUGGCAUCAUUUGGGGAUGUUCAACACCUCACGGAAGAGGCAGGAAAUGGAGCUGGUUGGAUAUGUGAAUGUUGUUGCUGUUCUAUAGUGUUGAACUGUUAAACUGAGUGAAUUGCCCUGAGUAUGCUGUUCACUGAAAUGUUUGAGGUGUGCAAAGUUCUACGUGGGAAUUACGUAAAAGCUGUUGUGUCUGUUCAGAGACUGCUGCGUGUCAAUGUUACUGUAUAGAAAGCCAAGUGCAGCCUGUCUGUAUUCUGUCACUUUAAAAAAUAAACAAAAGAGUUCUGUUUAAA
Long non-coding RNA from Callorhinchus milii (elephant shark), 1028 nucleotides. RefSeq lists it as uncharacterized. NCBI's taxonomy places the organism in Eukaryota, Metazoa, Chordata, Chondrichthyes, Chimaeriformes, Callorhinchidae. The transcript has 5 exons. The record is from RefSeq and is a predicted model, not a curated record.